RNAcentral lists this ribosomal RNA (506 nucleotides) under uncultured Actinomycetes bacterium. RNAcentral's name for it is "bacterial SSU rRNA". It matches the Rfam family "Bacterial small subunit ribosomal RNA", at positions 376 to 896 of the family's 1533-position model. Lineage: Bacteria; Bacillati; Actinomycetota; Actinomycetes. The record is from RNAcentral.
CGGAAAGCCUGACGCAGCAACGCCGCGUGCGGGAUGAAGGCCUUCGGGUUGUAAACCGCUUUCAGCAGGGACGAAACUGACUGUACCUGCAGAAGAAGCCCCGGCUAACUACGUGCCAGCAGCCGCGGUAAUACGUAGGGGGCAAGCGUUAUCCGGAUUUAUUGGGCGUAAAGCGCGCGUAGGCGGCUUGUUAAGCGAGAUGUGAAAACCGGGGGCUCAACCCGCGGCCUGCAUCUCGAACUGGCAGGCUUGAGUCUGGUAGAGGAGUGUGGAAUUCCCAGUGUAGCGGUGAAAUGCGCAGAUAUUGGGAGGAACACCAGUGGCGAAGGCGGCACUCUGGGCCACGACUGACGCUGAGGCGCGAAAGCUAGGAGAGCGAACAGGAUUAGAUACCCUGGUAGUCCUAGCCGUAAACGAUGGGCACUAGGUGUGGGGGGUUAUCAACUCCCUCCGUGCCGCAGCUAACGCAUUAAGUGCCCCGCCUGGGGAGUACGGCCGCAAGGCUA